CCCUUAGAUGUUCUGGGCUGCACGCGCGCUACACUGAUGCGCUCAACGAGUUUUGACCUUGCCCGGCAGGGUUGGGUAAUCUUUUUAAAACGCAUCGUGAUGGGGAUAGAUUAUUGCAAUUAUUAAUCUUCAACGAGGAAUGCCUAGUAGGCGCAAGUCAUCAGCUUGCGUCGAUUACGUCCCUGCCCUUUGUACACACCGCCCGUCGCUCCUACCGAUUGGGUGUGCUGGUGAAAUGUUCGGAUCGGCCGUUUGUCGCGGUUUCCGCGUCAUGUGGCUGAGAAGUUCAUUAAACCCUCCCACCUAGAGGAAGGAGAAGUCGUAACA
Molecule: ribosomal RNA, 327 nt
Filed under: uncultured eukaryote
Lineage: Eukaryota
Description: partial 18S ribosomal RNA
Rfam family: Eukaryotic small subunit ribosomal RNA
Source: RNAcentral